This is a long non-coding RNA of Arvicola amphibius (Eurasian water vole), 467 nucleotides long. RefSeq lists it as uncharacterized. The record is from RefSeq and is a predicted model, not a curated record. Lineage: Eukaryota; Metazoa; Chordata; Mammalia; Rodentia; Cricetidae. The transcript is spliced from 3 exons.
AAGGAACUGAAGAAUAACGGAGUUGAGAUGAAGUUUCUUACAGGGCAAAGUUUUCAGAUAUGUCAAUGCUGUCACAUACUUGAUGAGACCAGGAAAUUUUGCAAGGCUAAUGGCAUGAAGACGCUGUUGCGAUGAAGCCAAGAACAGCCAGAGCUUGAUACAAAUUGGAGUCCCUUGGAAAGAGGUAACCUCAGUUGUGUAAUUGCCCUCAGAAGACUGGCCUGUGUUCAGAUCUGUGGAGGCAUUUCCUGAUGAAUGAUUGAUGUCAGAGGGUCCAGCCAACUGUGGGCAGUCCCAGCCCUGGGCAAGUGACUGCAUUGAAGAAGAAAGCUGAACGAGUUACGGAAAGCCAGUCAUUGAGUAGUGUUCCUUUGUGUUUUCAACUUCAGUUCUGGCUUCCAUAUUGUUUUCCUGGCUUCUCUGCAUGAUGGGCUGCAAUCUGCAAGUCAAAUUAACCCUUUCUUCCU